CUCCAAUUCAGAGACAGGCUGGCACAGUUCAUCUUUAUUAGCCAACAAAUAUCUGAAUUAUGGGUGAGUUGGUUUGGCCCAUGGUAAGGGCAGUGAUCCAAGAACAAAUCCCAGCAGAAUGGAAAAGUUGUUAAUGAAGCUUUUAAAAAACAUUCUUCCAUGUACACACAAUGUAAUAUCGGUAGAAUUAUCUUCGGAUAUGAAGCACAAGCGAAGACCAUAGAGGUUAGCAGUACCCAGGAGAAAAAAUAUUUUGGCAGACUGGGAACAGAUCGAAUAACUUACCUUUUUUUGAUUUUCUGCAGGACGUUUGAGGCUCCUGGCAAUGAGGAUCUUCCUACAAUGGGUGCAACAAAUUCCUGGGCCUUCCAGAGGUUCUGGAUGCAAAUUAAGUUGCUUCUCAGCUUCCCCCACUGCUGGCUGAUGGUUGAGAUUUCCUGCAUCUUCCAGGUCCUAGUUUUGCCCUUCAAAAGAUACACAAAGAAAAUUGAAUCCCUUCGCCCAUGUCAGUGCUCCACUUAUUUUAGGACAAUUUCCAGGUUGUCUCUAGGACUUUCCCUUUCUGUGCUAUGAAAUGAGGCCUGAGGACACGUGCCGAGUGCCUACGGGCUGCUUGAGACGGGAGAUACCUUUUGUCCAUUCAUUCUUCAUCUCAUGCUGACUGAAGCCUUAAUGCCACUCACUCCACACAAUGGCGCCUGCCUGGAGAACUGGGUGAGAGGGUCGUUCAUCUUCGUAGUCUCACCCCGUAGCAGGAGGGACUGGCAGAGCCUCCUAGAUGCCACCCCUCCCAGGCAAAGCUUCAGCCUGCACCCCUGGACCAGGGCUAAUAACAUCAGCCACUGGCCACUUGACAUGUUGCUGAGAGAUUUCCCAAACACACAUUCCCAUCUUAGCAAAUUAACUCCAAGAACACAGUGAGGAAGAAGAUAAGUUAAAGGAGAGAUGUCUAAAUGAGAAACUAAACUCGGUCUUCCUGAGACAGCCAGUGCCGACGGCUUGCGCUGGGUGGAAAGGUGAGAUUUCAUCACUGCUUCUCCCCAGGGCUGGCAGGGGCAGAUCAAGUUGCCUCUCACUCCGGCCCCACCCUGAGGAAUGGACUCAUGGACACUGCAGGGCUUUCUCUCCUCUGAUAUCUUUGAGUCAAGGCGCCGUGUUGACCAAGUGGGUCAGAUAAAGGACUACAAAGCCAUUGUCCGAAUUGCCCAGGGAGGAUGUGGCCAACAUUCCUAGGUGUGUUUGGAAAUAUGGCUGAGACAGUAGGUGCCAAGUGAGAGACGCUGGCAAAGUAAGCCUACAUUUGGAGACCAGUGGUUCCCUGCUGUCACAGGGGACUUCGGAAUAAAUCCCUUCCAACCCACUAGCACACACGCUGCCACACACGACCAUAGAUGGUGAAUCCUGCACUCCCAACUCUCUCCCGGUGGCUUCUACAACAGGAUGUUGUUUAUUACAAUAGAAUUAAUCUGCUUUUCCAGAAUUUAGUAAUCCAUCAAUUGACAAACUUCCCUGAUACAUACUUUUAAGAUUCUAGAAAAAUUCAACUCAUUAUUAUACAUUAUUCACUUCCCAAAUCAGUGAAAACUGCAUGUGAUAUGUUAUAACCAUAAAAUUAUUACAUCAAGCACUUAUGGACAAAAGUUAAGUCACAAAAUAGGUGGAAAGAAGAAAACAAUUAUAUUAGAAGACUUAACCUAAGGAAGUAUGAAAUUUAGCUCUGAGCUUCUGCAGUAAAAUAGAAAAGAGGCAGGCGGAUCACUUGAGGUCAGGAGUUCGAGACCAGCCUGGGCAACAUGGUGAAACUCUGUUUCUACUAAAAACACAAAAAUUAGCAGGACGUACUGUUGCAUGCUUGUAAUCCCAGCUAGUUGGGAGGCUGAGACGUGAGAAUCCCUUGAACCCAGGAGGCAGAGGUUGCAGUGAGCGGAGAUCUUGCCACUGCACUCCAGCCUGGGCAACAGAGUGAGACUCUGUCUCAAAAUAAUAAUAAUAAAUAAAUAAAUAAAAUAUAAAAGGGAAUAAAAGCGACAUAUGUGCCAUUAUUUAAUGCAAGAGAGCAUACAAAUUCAUCUGGAGAAGUUGCCUUGAUACAUUUCAAGUAAG
Molecule: long non-coding RNA, 2103 nt
Filed under: Homo sapiens (human)
Lineage: Eukaryota; Metazoa; Chordata; Mammalia; Primates; Hominidae
Description: HSALNT0201008
Source: RNAcentral